GAGAUCAACACUAGCAUCCCCUGUCACAGGAGGCACCACAGCUUUGGAGGUGCCCUGGAGGAAUGCGGACUCAUCAACCUCUGUCAAAGUGGGAACAGGUGCAAGAGCUGAUGUUAUGUCAGUGGUCCUGGUGUCAUUCUCCAGGCUGAAGUCUGAGAAACUGAAGGAGUUGCUACCUUGGUCAGAGGACAGGUUCGCCAAAGGUUCCUGAAUGGAGGCAGCAGUAUUCACCAUAGGAGCAAAUGACAUGUUCUGAGUCUGCAUGAUUGGCUCAGGUAUGGUGUGGUUUGCAUUCGCAUUGGUCAUGUUGUUGAUAACCAGAUUCUCCUCAGUGCCCAUAUUGGCCACUUUCACAGAUGUAGGCUCAGCAAGGCGCUUCUGAGAAGCCACUGGAGCCUCAUCUGGGAAGUUGACCUUGGCCUUCUUACCACGAAUCCUGCGUGCCUCAACAUCAUAAGCUCUGGCAGCUUCUUCAGGAGAGUUGUAAGU
Molecule: long non-coding RNA, 489 nt
Filed under: Setaria viridis
Lineage: Eukaryota; Viridiplantae; Streptophyta; Magnoliopsida; Poales; Poaceae
Description: long non-coding RNA (SVIR_LNC003873)
Source: RNAcentral